UGAGUAACCUGCCCUUAACUCUGGGAUAAGCCUGGGAAACUGGGUCUAAUACCGGAUAUGACUCCUCAUCGCAUGGUGGGGGGUGGAAAGCUUUAUUGUGGUUUUGGAUGGACUCGCGGCCUAUCAGCUUGUUGGUGAGGUAAUGGCUCACCAAGGCGACGACGGGUAGCCGGCCUGAGAGGGUGACCGGCCACACUGGGACUGAGAUACCGGCCCAGACCUCCGUACGGGAGCAG
RNAcentral lists this ribosomal RNA (236 nucleotides) under uncultured bacterium. Its description in RNAcentral is "partial 16S ribosomal RNA". It matches the Rfam family "Bacterial small subunit ribosomal RNA", at positions 118 to 347 of the family's 1533-position model. The record is from RNAcentral.